This 128-nucleotide ribosomal RNA is filed under the name Alexandrium sp. RNAcentral's name for it is "partial small subunit ribosomal RNA". It matches the Rfam family "Eukaryotic small subunit ribosomal RNA", at positions 1678 to 1806 of the family's 1831-position model. The record is from RNAcentral. Lineage: Eukaryota; Dinophyceae; Gonyaulacales; Pyrocystaceae.
GCUCCUACCGAUUGAGUGAUCCGGUGAAUAAUUCGGACUGCAGCAGUGUUCAGUUCUUGAACAUUGCAGUGGAAAGUUUAAUGAACCUUAUCACUUAGAGGAAGGAGAAGUCGUAACAAGGUUUCUGU